UGGGGAAUAUUGCACAAUGGGCGCAAGCCUGAUGCAGCCAUGCCGCGUGUAUGAAGAAGGCCUUCGGGUUGUAAAGUACUUUCAGCGGGGAGGAAGGGAGUAAAGUUAAUACCUUUGCUCAUUGACGUUACCCGCAGAAGAAGCACCGGCUAACUCCGUGCCAGCAGCCGCGGUAAUACGGAGGGUGCAAGCGUUAAUCGGAAUUACUGGGCGUAAAGCGCACGCAGGCGGUUUGUUAAGUCAGAUGUGAAAUCCCCGGGCUCAACCUGGGAACUGCAUCUGAUACUGGCAAGCUUGAGUGUCGUAGAGGGGGGUAGAAUUCCAGGUGUAGCGGUGAAAUGCGUACAGAGCUGGAGGAAUACCGGUGGCGAAGGCGGCCCCCUGGACGAAGACUGACGCUCAGGUGCGAAAGCGUGGGGAGCAAACAGG
RNAcentral lists this ribosomal RNA (429 nucleotides) under Chloroflexota bacterium. Its description in RNAcentral is "Chloroflexi bacterium partial 16S ribosomal RNA". It matches the Rfam family "Bacterial small subunit ribosomal RNA", at positions 355 to 776 of the family's 1533-position model. The record is from RNAcentral. Lineage: Bacteria; Bacillati; Chloroflexota.